Molecule: ribosomal RNA, 495 nt
Filed under: uncultured bacterium
Lineage: Bacteria
Description: partial 16S ribosomal RNA
Rfam family: Bacterial small subunit ribosomal RNA
Source: RNAcentral
GACGAACGCUGGCGGCGUGCCUAAUACAUGCAAGUAGAACGCUGAAGGAGGAGCUUGCUUCUCUGGAUGAGUUGCGAACGGGUGAGUAACGCGUAGGUAACCUGCCUGGUAGCGGGGGAUAACUAUUGGAAACGAUAGCUAAUACCGCAUAAUAGUAGAUGUUGCAUGACAUUUGCUUAAAAGGUGCAAUUGCAUCACUACCAGAUGGACCUGCGUUGUAUUAGCUAGUUGGUGAGGUAACGGCUCACCAAGGCGACGAUACAUAGCCGACCUGAGAGGGUGAUCGGCCACACUGGGACUGAGACACGGCCCAGACUCCUACGGGAGGCAGCAGUAGGGAAUCUUCGGCAAUGGACGGAAGUCUGACCGAGCAACGCCGCGUGAGUGAAGAAGGGUUUCGGAUCGUAAAGCUCGGUUGUAAGAGAAGAACGAGUGUGAGAGUGGAAAGUUCACACUGUGACGGUAGCUUACCAGAAAGGGACGGCUAACUACGUG